Poecile atricapillus (Black-capped chickadee) is the source of this 3124-nucleotide RNA transcript. It is a transcript of the gene named AGBL carboxypeptidase 5, with no coding region annotated. The record is from RefSeq and is a predicted model, not a curated record. The transcript has 11 exons. NCBI's taxonomy places the organism in Eukaryota, Metazoa, Chordata, Aves, Passeriformes, Paridae.
GGCGGCAGCCAAUGGCCGCGCGCGUUGCUGUUGCCGGGCGGCCCGUACCGGCCGUCCCGGGGCCGUCCCGGGGCGAUGCCGGUCCCGGCCCUGCCGGGCCAUGGAGAUCCGCUGCGGGGGUCUCCUCUUCAGCUCCCGCUUCGACUCGGGGAACCUGGCACACGUAGAACAGGUGCGGCCUACAGAGCUGGGAGGCGGCCCCGCCGCCCGCGCCAACGCUCUCCCCGCCGCCGACUAUGAGUUCAACGUGUGGACGCAGCCCGACUGCGCCCACACCGAGUAUGAGAACGGCAACAGGUCCUGGUUCUACUUCAGCGUGCGGGGGGGUGCCCCGGGGAAGCUGAUCAAGCUGCACAUCCUGAACAUGAACAAGCAGAGCCGGCUGUACGCGCAGGGCAUGACCCCCUUCGUGCGCACCCUGCCCGUGCGCCCGCGCUGGGAGCGCAUCCGACAGCGGCCCAGCUUCCAGGUGGUGGAGACGCAGUUCGUGCUGUCCUUCGUGCACCGCUUCCUGGAGCACCGCGGGGCCACCACCUACUUUGCUUUCUGUUACCCCUUCUCCUACACUGAGUGCCAGGACAUGCUGGCACAGCUGGACGGCCGCUUCCAGGACUGCAGGCACAUGUCCCCCAGCAGCCCCCUCGACUCGGUCUACUACCACCGGGAGCUGCUCUGCCACUCUCUGGACAAGCAGCGCGUGGACCUGCUGACCAUCACCUCGUGCCAUGGAAUGCAGGAGAAGCGGGAGCCCCGGCUGGACAAGCUUUUCCCAGACACCAGCACACCCCGGCCUCACUGCUUCACUGGAAAGAGGGUGUUUUUCCUCAGCAGCAGAGUCCAUCCAGGAGAAACCCCCUCCAGCUUUGUCUUCAAUGGCUUCUUGGACUUCAUCCUGCGGGAGGAGGAUCCCCGUGCCCAAAUGCUGCGGCGGAUGUUCGUCUUCAAGCUCAUCCCCAUGCUGAACCCCGAUGGGGUGGUGCGGGGCCACUACCGAACGGACUCGCGCGGGGUGAACCUGAACCGGCAGUACCUGCACCCCGACGCCGAGCUGCACCCCGCGGUGUACGGCGCCAAAGCCAUCCUGCUCUACCACCACAUCCACAGCCGCGUCCUGCCGGGCUCUCCGGACUGGAGGACGUUUGUCUCCCCACUCAGCGCCAGCUCACUGAGCAUAAAAUCUCCCAACUGUCCCGUCCCGGCCGUGGAGGCCACGUUAUCAGAGCUGGACAAAACCAACAACCUCCGCAACUGCCCCGGCACCUGGCGUGCCGGCACGCACUCCUGCCCGGCCCAGGGUGCCCAGCUGCCAGACAGCACAGAGCGAGCCUCCUGGAUCCUCCCUUCCAGCCACAGCACCGAGCACUGUGAGGAGGGGCCGUGGACGCCUCCCCCAGCCCCCGGCCCCGAAGCUGCUGAGCCCCCAGAGCCCAUUGCACCCCGGGACAGUGGCCUGGCUUACUACGUGGACCUGCACGGCCACGCGUCCAAGCGCGGCUGCUUCAUGUACGGCAACAGCUUCAGCGACGAGAACGACCAGGUGGAGAACAUGCUGUUCCCCAAACUCAUCUCCCUGAACUCCCCUCACUUUGACUUCACGGGCUGCAACUUCUCGGAGAAGAACAUGUAUGCCCGGGACAAGCGGGACGGGCAGUCCAAGGAGGGCAGCGGGCGCGUGGCCAUCUACAAGGCCCUGGGCAUCAUCCACAGCUACACCCUGGAGUGCAACUACAACACGGGGCGCUUGGUGAACAGCAUCCCGGGGGCGUGCCAUGACAACGGCCGUGCCAGCCCCCCGCCACCGCCCGCCUUCCCCUCCCGCUACACCGUGGAGCUCUUCGAGCAGGUGGGCCGGGCGGUGGCGGUGGCAGCCCUGGACAUGGCCGACUGCAACCCCUGGCCGCGGAUCGUGCUCUCGGAGCACACCUGCCUGGGCAACCUGCGCGCCUGGAUGCUGAAGCACGUGCGGGGGCUGCGCGGCGCCGGCGGGGGCCCGCGGAGGAGAGGAGGUGCCAGGACCCCCCCCAGGAGCUCCACAGGGCUGCCCACCUCGGCCUCUGACAACACACUGGCCCGUGCCAGGAGCUUCAGCAACGGCACCAGUGGCAGCGGGGGCAGCCAGCAGGACUCCCCCCGAAUCCGAACCUCUCCCAGCUUCACCUUUGGCAGCCCCAGGCCCCCGGCUGCGGCCGUGGCCUCCCAGAGCCCCCUGAGUGGCGGCAGCACCCCGGCCCUGGGCAGAGGUAAGCCAGGCUGGGGACCCCUUGCACGCCUGCUGCGGCGCCUGUCGAGCUGUUGUGCGGGAGCACGGCCCUGAGGGAGGUCAGCGCCGGCCUGUGCUGGGCUCGGACACAGUGACAGUGGGUUUGUGUGGAACAAUGAGUGUGAGGGGCCCCAUCCCCACAGGAGGGUCCUGAGUGGGGCCAGGGCUGACUGUGCACAGCAAGACCUGCAGUUUUACAGCCCAGCUGAGCUCCUCCUCCACGGCCCUUCAGCCCUGGCUGGGCAGGAGCUGCUGCUGCUCCCCUGGGAUUUGUGGGACCCUGGGCAAUGGGGCAGUGCUCCCCCCUCCAGUGCCAGGACCAAGGGGCUUCUGGAGAAGCCAGUAUAGAAAACCUUUGCUCAACUUGCCACUGUUCCCAAGCAUUCCUAAGGCCAGCAGGGACACACCGAAGUGCCUUUCCCCUCUUUAGGCACUGGCUGGGCAACAGUGGGUUGUGACCUGUGGCUGUGGUGAGGUGAGCUGGCAGCGGCCACCAGAGGGUUUCCAACAUGCAGAGUCCCCUCUGGUGGAGGCUGAUGUGCUGCACUGGCUAUGCCCCUGUGGGGCAGGGGCUCAGGGCCCUGGGGGGCAGGCAUGGCAGGGGAAGCCCUGGGGGCACCGAGCACCAAAGCCUCCCAGCACCCAGGGCUGGGGGUGCAAGCUGGGGGCAGGUGCCUGUGUGUGUGCCUGGGCGUGUCUGAAGCUGUGCUUGUGUUGAUCUCUGCAUUCCUCUGGUGUCCGUUGCGUGUUGCCCUCGGGUUUGCUGCCCAGCCCUCUGUCAUGACUGUGUCUUGUCUGCCAUGAGAACAUGGUGGGGAGGAAAUAAAAGGCUGAUGUUCUCAUGGGCACGUUGUUCUGUCUGUU